RNAcentral lists this ribosomal RNA (436 nucleotides) under uncultured bacterium. RNAcentral describes it as "bacterial SSU rRNA". It matches the Rfam family "Bacterial small subunit ribosomal RNA", at positions 958 to 1397 of the family's 1533-position model. The record is from RNAcentral.
AACGCGAAGAACCUUACCUGGUCUUGACAUCCUAGGAAUUUGCCAGAGAUGGCGAAGUGCCCGCAAGGGAGCCUAGAGACAGGUGCUGCAUGGCUGUCGUCAGCUCGUGUCGUGAGAUGUUGGGUUAAGUCCCGCAACGAGCGCAACCCUCGCCUUUAGUUGCCACGCAAGUGGAUCUCUAGAGGGACUGCCGGUGUUAAACCGGAGGAAGGUGGGGAUGACGUCAAGUCCUCAUGGCCUUUAUGACCAGGGCUACACACGUGCUACAAUGGCCGGUACAAAGCGCUGCCAACCCGCGAGGGGGAGCCAAUCGCAUAAAACCGGUCUCAGUUCAGAUCGAAGUCUGCAACUCGACUUCGUGAAGGCGGAAUCGCUAGUAAUCGUAGAUCAGCACGCUACGGUGAAUACGUUCCCGGGCCUUGUACACACCGAUAGC